CGGCGGACGGGUGAGUAACGCGUGGGUAACCUGCCUCAUACAGGGGGAUAACAGUUGGAAACGGCUGCUAAUACCGCAUAAGCGCACAGUACCGCAUGGUACGGUGUGAAAAACUCCGGUGGUAUGAGAGGGACCCGCGUCUGAUUAGCUAGUUGGUGGGGUAACGGCCUACCAAGGCGACGAUCAGUAGCCGGCCUGAGAGGGUGAACGGCCACAUUGGGACUGAGACACGGCCCAA
This 238-nucleotide ribosomal RNA is filed under the name uncultured bacterium. Its description in RNAcentral is "partial 16S ribosomal RNA". It matches the Rfam family "Bacterial small subunit ribosomal RNA", at positions 96 to 334 of the family's 1533-position model. The record is from RNAcentral.